GGGUAAGGGAUGGAAAUGGAUUCAGAUUGAUGGAGCUCUCGUCCCGAUUCAUACUCGAAUGGAUUAGUACGUGGGAAUAACAAACAUAAAAAAGUUAAGUAAAUGUAACGGGAGGCAGUAAAUUCUUUUUUUACGUGAUUCGUCUCGAUUCGUUAAAAAUUUGCUCCCGCAGUUCCGCUCUAUCUAAUAGAGCGGUAAGUAGGGAUCAGGAUUAGGAGUAAAAUUAAUCUGCUUCGAAUUUGCCUAAACCCGACAAAUGAGGUGGGGAACCCCACUUUGUUAGGAUUUGGUUAGAUUUGCAGAUUAAUUAUAGUUGAAUUAGAAUUAAUAUUUAAAUCUGUUGGAGAUAAAUUAUGAUUUAAAUAUUAAUUAGAGAAUGAAUCCAACUAGAUUAGGAUAAAUAUUUAAAUCUAUUGGAGAUAAAUCAAUUAAGAUUUAAAUAUUUAUUGGAGUAGGAAUCCUAAAUAUAUUAGGAUUGGGUACAUUCUUGAUGGAGCAUUAUAUAUAAUGCAUUAGAGUCUCUUUUUGGGGUGAGUACGGCAGAGAGAAAAAAGUGCCCUUGGGGUGUCGUACCAGAGAGAGAAAGAGAGAGAGAGUUAUUUAGUGCACCUAGUGCACGGGUGCACAUAGAUGGGUUGUCUUUUAGGUUUAUAAAAGACGAGAGAAGGGUAGAAGAGAUUCAAGAAAGAGGGCUCGGGUUGUAGCUACUCUGUGCAGAAGAGGAGUCAG
RNAcentral lists this long non-coding RNA (729 nucleotides) under Ananas comosus (pineapple). RNAcentral's name for it is "long non-coding RNA (ACOM_LNC040103)". Lineage: Eukaryota; Viridiplantae; Streptophyta; Magnoliopsida; Poales; Bromeliaceae. The record is from RNAcentral.